GAGGAUUGAAAGCGAAAUUCAAAAAGGGAAGACAAAGCGAAAGCAAACGUCGUCGACGACUUCGGAGGCAACUGGAGAAAACGAGAGUUUUCGGACAGUGUGGUGACCACCGCAAGAG
Caenorhabditis elegans is the source of this 118-nucleotide non-coding RNA. Lineage: Eukaryota; Metazoa; Nematoda; Chromadorea; Rhabditida; Rhabditidae. The record is from Ensembl.